GACGAACGCUGGCGGCGUGCUUAACACAUGCAAGUCGAGCGGUAAGGCCCUUUCGGGGGUACACGAGCGGCGAACGGGUGAGUAACACGUGGGUGACCUGCCCUCAGCUCUGGGAUAAGCCUGGGAAACCGGGUCUAAUACUGGAUAUGACUCCAUGACGCAUGUUGUGGGGUGGAAAGCCUUGUGCGGCUGAGGAUGGGCCCGCGGCCUAUCAGCUUGUUGGUGGGGUGANGGCCUACCAAGGCGACGACGGGUAGCCGGCCUGAGAGGGCGACCGGCCACACUGGGACUGAGACACGGCCCAGACUCCUACGGGAGGCAGCAGUGGGGAAUCUUGCGCAAUGGGCGAAAGCCUGACGC
RNAcentral lists this ribosomal RNA (360 nucleotides) under uncultured bacterium. Its description in RNAcentral is "bacterial SSU rRNA". It matches the Rfam family "Bacterial small subunit ribosomal RNA", at positions 28 to 389 of the family's 1533-position model. The record is from RNAcentral.